RNAcentral lists this ribosomal RNA (200 nucleotides) under uncultured bacterium. Its description in RNAcentral is "partial 16S ribosomal RNA". It matches the Rfam family "Bacterial small subunit ribosomal RNA", at positions 8 to 221 of the family's 1533-position model. The record is from RNAcentral.
AGAGUUUGAUCCUGGCUCAGAUUGAACGCUGGCGGCGUGCUUAACACAUGCAAGUCGAACGAGGUGCUUGCACCUAGUGGCGAACGGGUGAGUAACACGUGAGCAACCUGCCCCUGGCUCUGGGAUAGCCUCCGGAAACGGGGAUUAAUACCGGACAUGACCUGCUCCUGCAUGGGAGCGGGUGGAAAGUUUUUCGGCCA